Long non-coding RNA from Phacochoerus africanus (Common warthog), 1685 nucleotides. RefSeq lists it as uncharacterized. Lineage: Eukaryota; Metazoa; Chordata; Mammalia; Artiodactyla; Suidae. The record is from RefSeq and is a predicted model, not a curated record. The transcript has 2 exons.
ACUGCGCCAUGAUGGGAACUCACCAAGUUUUAAGCCAGUGUUUCUCUUGGACCGCUCCUUCUUCCAGAGAAAACCUAUCAGCCUCACAGCCUGGCCACUGCCACAGCACAGACAGCCAACAUGGCAAAGACAACAGCUGAGAGUCAGAGCUAUUUGAGCCUAGACACAGGGACACUGUCUGUGAAGCACAAAACAUAGGCUCAGAUACUGAGUCACAGACCCAAGAAGGUGCUGCAGAGAUGGAGUCCCCCAGUCAGGCUCGGUGCAGACCCGGGCACAGAAAUGCUGUCUCAGAAACAUGGUCAAGGGCGGGUCCUGAGCCAUGGUUGCAGGUGUGAAGAGAGCCCCUCAUUCAUAAACAGACAGACAGACAUGCUCAUCAACAUGUGGUGUGAUGACUGAGACAGAAUCCAGAUUUGCGAUCAUAGGUGGAGCUGGAACCAGCAACAAGCAGCAGACGCAACUCUCAGAAGCGGUCCAGACAGAGGAACAGAGGCCGCCACGGGAAGUGGAUGGGGAUCGGAGUUUUCCCUGUUGCCCCUGAAUUGCCAGCUCAGUCCACAGUUGAGGAAGAGGUCUGGGUGCCCUGCACUCUAAAGGCGGAGUUUGCCAGUGGCAGGGGCCAGACAUCUGCCGCAGACCCUGAUCCUGGCUGUCAGCACUCUUGCCUGACCCUCUGCCCAUGGCUUCCUUUUCCAUGAGAGAAGAUGGGUAGGGAGAGAGGAGCCCUUGCUCAAGCUGACCGCAGUGCAGAGUGUGUGGCAAGAAGGCUUCCCUUCUGCUGUCCACUCCCUCCCCCAGAACCAUGUGAGACUUCUCGAUGGGGUGGCUAGAGACACUGGCGUCCUGGUCAUCAGGGGUGGAGGCUGCAGAGGAAGUAAGAGGGGUCUUGGGAGAAUGUAACCCUUUGAGUGUCGGGGUCUACCUGACCACAGGGGCUGAUGCCUGCUUGUCCACUGGAGGUUUUUGAAAUCAGUGUGUUCAAAGAAGGGACCUUGGGCGAAUGCCUUUGAGGGUGAGGAUGGGACUGGGGCGGUGGCUUUUGGGUCUUUUGAGGCCAGGAAAGAAGACCUCAAUGGCUCCUGUGGCUCCCUGAGAAGGAGCAUGGAGACUGGGGUGCAGGAGCCACGGGGCGGCCUUCUGUGAUGCCCUUGGAGGAGCGUUGGGCUAUGGACUCCUGCUGGGGCCAAAGGGACCUGUCCUUGGUGACAGAGAGAGCUGUGCUGACACUGGUCACACACCCAAGGAAGCUGCAGGCAAACCUACCCAACACAUGUUCCAGCCACCACCAGCGACUAAUGAAACCAGAUGGAGCCAGAGCAAAAUCAGGGACCCCUGCCUCCACCGCCACAGCUGACCAGUCCUGUGAGAGGACCCCAGCCGUCUUUCCCAUCUGCCCUCCCGACAAGAGAUGAGAGAAGAGAAGGGAGGGAGGGAGAGGCCCUUCUCUUCUAGUCCCGCAGCCUGUCUGCUCCAGGUUUGAAUCAAAUGUACUCUGUGGGCUGGACCAGACUUCCAAUAACUGAGACUGACUGGGGGGCGCCGGGUUCCACUCAGGAUGUCAUUAGGUGACAGGGAAGGGUUUUGACAGAGCAUGACUGAAGGCAGCCAUGGAGAAAGCGGAGCACUUUUGUGAUCAUUCAUCACCGAACUGAGACUCCUCAAUAAAUUGUGUAUGGACCUGC